AAGUGGAGCAAUCCAUGAGUAAAGUGGCGACCGGGUGAGUAACACGUGACUAACCUACCUUCGAGUGGGGAAUAACCUCGGGAAACCGGGGCUAAUACCGCAUAAUGUCUUCGGACCAAAGGAGCAAUUCGCUGGAAGAGGGGGUCGCGGCCGAUUAGCUAGUUGGCGGGGUAACGGCCCACCAAGGCAAUGAUCGGUAGCCGGCCUGAGAGGGCGCACGGACACACUGGAACUGAAACACGGUCCAGACUCCUACGGGAGGCAGCAGUGGGGAAUUUUGCGCAAUGGGGGAAACCCUGACGCAGCAACGCCGCGUGGAGGAUGAAGCCCCUUGGG
This 336-nucleotide ribosomal RNA is filed under the name uncultured bacterium. Its description in RNAcentral is "bacterial SSU rRNA". It matches the Rfam family "Bacterial small subunit ribosomal RNA", at positions 72 to 422 of the family's 1533-position model. The record is from RNAcentral.